CCUACGGGUGGCAGCAGUGGGGAAUCUUGCACAAUGGGGGCAACCCUGAUGCAGCAACGCCGCGUGAGCGAUGAAGUGUUUCGGUACGUAAAGCUCUGUCAUCAGGGAAGAAAAUGACGGUGCCUAACUAAGAAUCCACUGCUAACGACGUGCCAGCAGCCGCGGUAAUACGUAGGGGGCAAGCGUUAGCUGGAUUUACUGGGUGUAAAGGUAGCGUAGACGGUUGGGCAGGUCAGAUGUGAAAGCCCGGGGCUCAACCCAGGGAGUGCAUUUGGAACUGUGCGGCUAGAGUGCAGGAGAGGCAGGCGGAAUUCCUAGUGUAGCGGUGAAAUGCGUAGAUAUUAGGAGGAACACCAGUGGCGAAGGCGGCCUGCUGGACGACGACUGACGUUGAGGCUCGAAAGCGUGGGGAGCAAACAGGAUUAGAUACCCGUGUAGUC
RNAcentral lists this ribosomal RNA (440 nucleotides) under uncultured bacterium. Its description in RNAcentral is "partial 16S ribosomal RNA". It matches the Rfam family "Bacterial small subunit ribosomal RNA", at positions 338 to 795 of the family's 1533-position model. The record is from RNAcentral.